GAACACAUAAUAUUUAGCUUAUUUUGUUUUGUAUUGUUUUAUUUGAUUAUUUUGUCUCUUUCUUUGUUUCUCUCUGGAUCUUUUCUUAGGGUCACCGUUACUUCUUGCAAUUAGGAUAGUCUAGUUAAUUAAGAGGCUAUUUGAGGAAUUGUUUUUUUUUCUUUCUUUAGCUUAAUGAAUUGUGUCACAGCCAUCCUAUUAAUUUGAGAGCCAUAUUACAUGGCAGGAUGUGCUGUGUCCUAAUUUUGGGAGACCCAAUGGGAUACCACCAUAUUUCUGAGAGACAAACACAGUCUGGGAGAAUAAGAUUGGGAAUAGAAACUUAAACAGAUUUUCAAAGCGAAAAAUAUGAAAAGCAGUCUAUGCAGACGUCUUCUGCGAAUGCACGGAUGUGAUAAAGUUGCCAAAAAGUAGCCUAUUUAUGAUAACUGUCCACAGUGGAUGCUGUGUGUGCAUUGAUACAAUCUAUAAUGCAAAAGUGAAUGAGUUGAAAAUCUUCCCAAUAGCACCCACUAGGUUUAGCGUGUGUUCCUCUGAGCGAUAGUUCACUAUCGGACGCUGCUCCAAUGCCCUGGAUCACAGCGUCUGUCUCCUCGCAGGACCCGUCGGCGCUACCCACAGUUCCCCGCGCUCAGACAAGAUGGAGGAACGCAGCAGCUGCGGGAGAACAAUGUUUGGACUCUGAACGUUAAAAGAAACGAUCGAGGGGGGAAAAUACAUACACAGAGAGCCAACGGUGGACAUGCACUGGAUGAGUGAGGUGGCCUUGCAUUGAAGCAGACCCCAUCGCCCCUGUUCCAGCAUCAGCGUCAGUGUGAUAACACUCUGAGCCUUGCCCCUUCAACAUGAGCUUGAUCCAGGACAAACUUGGCAAUGAGUUCCUCCGCUCUAACGGUGGCAUGGAGCCAGGCUUCGGUCCAGGCAUGCUCAUGUUCAGUCACCUGCCCCCUGUUACUAGCUUCACCCGGCUGGCCAGUCAAACUGUUAUGGCUGACCUGCAGCCCCACGAAAUGAUCUUGAAGAAGGAGAGGGACUCGCCGGACUGUGGAGGAGGAGGGCUGAGUGCUGGAGGCAUGGGUGGUGGAGGUGGCAUAGGAGGGAUGAUGGGAAGCGUGGGAGAUUAUGUUCAUGCCAUGGGCAUUAAACAGGAGAAGGUCUCUGAACAUGAUUACCGGCUGCCUCUCUACCCGGGAGGUGGAGCUGGAACUGGAGUACGAAGUGGAGGAGAGUUGCUGGAGGUCUCGCUGGGCAACCAUCAGAACCUGGUGGUGCACGACCUCAGUCUGGGAAACCUGUCAGGACGGCUGGUAAAGGAAUCCUCAGGGAGGAAAGGUCGAAGGUCAAACGGCGAGGGACAGGAGGGCAAGACACGAAGGAAACGAGGAGAGUCGAAGUCAAUGAUGCUGGAUCCAGAUGGAGGGAGCUUGUCUCCAAACUCCAAACCGCACAUCUGUGAGCACUGCAAUGCAGCGUUCCGGAGCUCCUAUCAUUUACGCAGACAUGUGCUUAUACACACAGGUGAGAGGCCUUUCCGCUGCACUCAGUGUAACAUGAGCUUCAUUCAGAAAUACCUCUUACAGAGACACGAGAAGAUCCACAGUGGAGAGAAGCCAUUCAGCUGUGACCAGUGCAACAUGCGUUUUAUUCAGAAGUAUCACAUGGAAAGACACAAGAGAACUCACAGUGGAGAAAAGCCAUAUAAGUGUGACACCUGCCAACAGUAUUUUUCCAGAACGGACCGGUUGCUGAAGCACAAGCGGACGUGUGGAGAUGCCAUUAAAAAGGGUGUGGAUGGAGCAGAGCACGAGUUGGGCUCAGCAGGCGACGGAGAACACGGCAGCUACGGAAUCUCUCAGGGAAAUGCAGCUACGCCCAGCCGCAAACGGGGCAAGACAAAAAAUGCUGGUGAGGGGGGUGAGCGAAAACGUAAAAAGUCAUCCGGGUCUAUGGGAGCGACACAUAGUCAGGGGGCGGAUGGUUACGGGGUACAUGACUUCGGGGUAUCAACAACUUCAUCUUCAGCCCAGCCGGGCCCCAGCAUGCACGGUGAACACGGCCGAGCUCCCAAGAUGGCCUUUAAGAAGGGGAACAGGAAAUCCCUGGAGAAGAAUACUCACCCCUUGGAUCAAACCAAACCAGGAGGCAUGGAGUUGCCUGCAGGAGGAGGUUUGGACGGCCUCGGGCUUCUUCCGGGUCCAGGGGCCAAAGUUGGUCCCAGCAGCAGUAACUAUGAUGAUGCCAUGCAGUUUCUGAAGAAGAGGCGAUACCUCCAUGUGCCGAACAAUGGGGGCUCUGCUUCUGGAGCUUCAGACUACGACGUAGGCGUCGGUCACCUGCAGUCACAGCCGACGGUCAUCCAUGGUGUCGUUUCUGGGGUUCUAGAUGGCGAUGCCGCACUGGGCCUCCUGGACUCGUCCCCUCUGGGAGAUAUAAAACAGGACAAGUCUGGUAUCCCAGAUGAGGUUCUCCAGAGCUUGUUGGACCACUACGCUCACAAGCCUGAUGUGUCCUUCGACAUCACCGAUCCCCAUCACGUCGAGCUCCAGCCAGCCGCCACAGAUGCUGCAGACCCACUGGGAACCGAGGACGCCCCGUCGAGUCCCAACAGUGGUGACAAAUCCGUAAUCAUGCAUGAGUACUCGCGUUUUCUCCUACAGGCAUUAGAGAGGACCAGUCACAGCGCAAGCUUCCCGUUGGGCUCCAGUCCUGGUUCUGCCGUGACUACCACGGGACCAUUUACAGGCCCUAGCCCGCUUUUGUCAGACAAGCAUGUGUAUACUUCCUCACCUCUCGAGUACUCGUUCUCUCAACCGGUCUCGUCUUCGCCCUCCCUUUCGUCUGUGCCAAAGUCCCACUUUGGUCUCCUCGAGGGCUCGUCGCCUCCAACGGGCUUCCACUUGAGCAGCCUGGAGCCGUCUGCGCACACGCAGCAGCUCACACCUUCCCAGGAGCUCACCGAACAGCUGGACAAGCAGCACACCUCCCCUCCGCCGCCUCCACACACCCCCAACACCAACACCUACCAGAUCACACCUCAGCCUCCCGACCUGGGCGGUCCGAAGGAACCGCAAGGGCCGAAAAACGGAGCCGCAGCCACCACUGGAGGAUUCUCCCUGGCUGCGUCCCAGGACCUGGCCACGCUGGACCCAGCCAAGGCUCCUUAUCAGAUCGAGAACUUUGCCCAGGCUUUCGGGGCGCAGUUUAAAGGGGGCCGAGUGUCCCUGGCCUUCAGCAGUGACUCGGGGGGAGAGGUGACUCACCGCUUACAGACAUCAGUCUCCGAAUUCUCAGGGUAUAGCAAUCUCUUGGCUGAUGCCAGCGACCCAGUCAGCAGUGGCUCCAAAACCCCAACAAGCCAAAGCUACAGGUGAAUGGGCUCAUGUGCCUAGAUGCUCAGAUGGAGGUUCCCUGUUUUUAUUUUGUCAUGCUGUCUUUAUUGUUGUUGUUAUUAUUAUUAUUAUUGUUAUUAUUAAUAUUGUUAUUAUUAUUGUUAUUUAGUUCUCCUACUUCAAUGAAAUUGUCAUGUUUUUAAGUAAUGUUUUUCUCACUGCCAUUAUGUUCAUAUGAAAUUUCACCCUCCUUUGGCCUGCGAUGCAUUUUCCAUUAUUACGUUCUUUUUUUCAGUUUCCUUCGGAAAUUCUCUGUAGACUUUUAGUUCUGCUCUGUUGAUCAAUAGACGAAAACGCAAAUUAGUUCUGCUUACUUUUUUCCAAAAGUCAUUCACAUACAUUUUAGCAAUUGACUUCAAGCGUGUAAAAAUAACUAUGAAAAAGCAAUGGCAGGGAGUUGCCUAGAACUGAAAUCAUCUGUUACAAUGAUUCAAGUAUUACUCAGGAAAACGUGUGGACAGCAAAUCCAGAAGGGUAGCAAGCAUUCAUCCAAGAGGCAGACGUUUUGCAAAUACAAAGAGCUUUUCCAGGAGAUUUUUUUUUAUUUUUUAUUUUUUUGGAUUCUUCUGAAUAAGUGAAACAAGUAGAAGACAAAAGCGCUGCCUGUUAAAUUACACUGACACCACUUUCCACUUAGCUGUAUAGAGAUUAUGGUACUUUUAUGUCAAUGUGAAAUGCUCACAUUCUCUUUCAGUAAGGGCCAUAUAUAUAUAAAUAUAUAUUUAUAAGAAUAUCCGUAUGUAAAAUAACAUAUACUCUUUCUUGAGACUGGCAGGUGACUUGGAGGGAGAUAAAGAGGAAUUGAGUUCGUGAAGGGAGGCCUGUGACUGACAGCACGUAAACCCCCUUCACCCUGUCCUUCUUUUUUUCCCUUGGAUUGCGAAGCCAAGGGCUAUACACUAGAGGGCGCUGCAUGUGAGCGUGUAAGUGCCUCUUGGCACAGGCCAGAUCAUGGGAUUCUUCUGCGCCUGUCUGGCUUGCUCAUCCCUCUCUCCCUCCGUCCACUCCUCCUUUCCCUUCUUCGUCAGAAAGAAUCCCAUUUAGCACUUUUUUGAUCCUGUUUAUUUUACACGGUGAAUGAAACUACCCAGGCUGAUCACACAGAAUGUGAACUGUGUAACUGACAUGCUGUUUUUAAAAGGGGGCAGUGGACAGAAAAGGGGCGGGAUUCAUUUUAGGAAGCGUAGAUUAUGUUGAAAAGACCAACGAUGAGGUCUUUCUUAUGGAAAACUUUAGUUUCAAUGGGAUGUGUUUGCUGGAAUUAAGGGUGGGCUUUUCUUGGGGUGGGAGCGUAGGGUGUCUUUUUUAUAUUUUAUUCCCAGGUUCUAAUGGAUGUAGGGCAGGUUAUAGAGGGGGAUUUUUCUUCUCCUUUUUGUUUUAUUUCAAAAGUAUAUGAAAAUGUGCUUUGUGUUAAAAUGGCCCCUGUUGUACCAAGCCUUUCACCAGAGGCGACUUGUAAAAAGUCCCGCUCUUAGUAAUUUAUAUAGUAUUGGUCCUAAAUAUAUACUGAACAGUCCAAAAGGAAUUCAGAAAACUUAUUGCAGUGUGCAUGCAGGGCAGAGUAUUACCUUGAACUACAUUUUUAUGUGUUUGAUUUUGUACUGUACAAGUAUUAUUGUAUUUUUUUUUUUUUUUUAAACGAUCAAUAACUGUCUUCCAUCAGCGCUGUUGGCUGCUGUUACACUGUCCUUGAAUUACUGUCAUCUAAUGUUGUUCCUUCUUUCAUGUGUUUUACCUACCGAUCCCCAAAAGGACAGAACCACACGCAAGAUUGUUUGACAGGCGGACGACUCUUAGGGAACACAAACAGACCACUAGGACUCAUUUAGAAAGAGACAAUUUUCUGAACUUCUGAAAGGUUCUUGAAGUUGGUACACUUUAGUAUUGUUUCAAUAACUAAGGUCGAGGAGAUCCAAAGAUGCUAUGAAUUGAAAUCUAAUUUUAUUCAGAUGCACAGGCUGUCAAUUCACUUUGCAUUUAUUUUUGUUUUAAAUUCCUCCUGUGCCCUGCAGUUUUGUUCUGUAAUUUGUUUUAUGAUUUGAUGUGAAGCACAGCUGAAAUAUAAUUUCUGGUUCAAUGUGUAAAGCCCCCGCAGACACUGUUAAGCCUUGAAUGAUAUCCUGUGUGGCUUGAAUAAUGCCAGCCAUCAAUCUGUCAGUGGUUGCCACCAUGAGGUCCUUUUUUUUUUUUUUUUUUUCUCUCUCUCUUUUUUGGCUUCUUGCUGUAUAUUCCUGAAAGUAUUUAUUUUGUUUACAUACAGUUAAUAACACUACUUUUUUUUUUUUUUUUUUUGCAUGUAAAUUUUUGAUGUUUUCUUUUUCCCCCCUUUUUGUCACCAUGCCAAAUUUGUAGCUAAUGAUCUUUUUCUCUCCUGUCUUAUUUUAUUACAGAUUCUUGUGAUCUGAUACACAGGGCUAUACCUGUCCAUUUUGACUUUUAUUAUUGAUUAGGAAAAACAAUAAAAAUGCUGAGAUCAG
Onychostoma macrolepis is the source of this 5866-nucleotide RNA transcript. It is a transcript of the gene named zinc finger protein 281a, with no coding region annotated. The record is from RefSeq and is a predicted model, not a curated record. The transcript has 8 exons. NCBI's taxonomy places the organism in Eukaryota, Metazoa, Chordata, Actinopteri, Cypriniformes, Cyprinidae.